GCGAGAAACUUUAGCAAUGUGCGAAGGCACGACAAGGUUAAUCCGAGUGGUUUCUGCUAAAGGAACCUUUUGUCAGUCCUAGAAACACUGGUGAAUAAGGGGUGGGCAAGUUCUGGUGUCAGCCGCCGCGGUAAAACCAGCACCUCAAGUGGUCAGGAUGAUUAUUGGGCCUAAAGCAUCCGUAGCCGGCUCUGUUGGUUUCGGUUAAAUCUGUACGCUCAACGUACAGGC
Molecule: ribosomal RNA, 231 nt
Filed under: uncultured euryarchaeote
Lineage: Archaea; Methanobacteriati; Methanobacteriota
Description: partial 16S ribosomal RNA
Rfam family: Archaeal small subunit ribosomal RNA
Source: RNAcentral